UGCGACUUGUGUUAGAUUGGCCUGCUGGUAAGGGCUUCAAAGGAAUUCUCUAAGGAAGAAACAAAUCAACUGAAGCGAAGUACAAAGGAACGAACUCUUUGGUGAACUAUUUCUUAUAGAAUCUAUCUGGUAUAUAUGACAUUAUGCAGACCACCUAUAUCGUAUAACGAUGCUUGCAUAGUUGCAUUGUGUGAUCAAUGGAGGAAACCAUAACAAUGUUAUAUUGGUCCAUAUUUU
RNAcentral lists this long non-coding RNA (237 nucleotides) under Trifolium pratense (red clover). RNAcentral's name for it is "long non-coding RNA (TPRA_LNC013876)". Lineage: Eukaryota; Viridiplantae; Streptophyta; Magnoliopsida; Fabales; Fabaceae. The record is from RNAcentral.